AUAAUCAUUUGCCUUUUAAAUGAAGGCUAGAAUGAAAGUACUGACGAGGGGCCACUGACUCAACCUUGUUUACCCGAAUUUGACCACGGGGUUAAAAUGCCCCGACGCUCUAGAAGGACGACAAGACCCUAUAAAACUUCACUACCCCUUGCCAAUACCCCAAGGUCAUUAAUAAAGUUGGACGUAGUUUAGCUGGGGCGGCCAACCCCCUCCGGGAUUGAGAUCUAACACCAUGUGUGACCCCUCGAACAUAUUUAAAUAGAAAGACCAAGUUACUUUAGGGAUAACAGCGCAAUAACCCCGAAGAGCCCCUAUCGAUGGGGUUGUUUGCGACCUCGAUGUUGAAUUGGAGCCCUCUCCGGAGCAGCCCCCGGGGAAAGGGGGUCUGUUCGACCCUUAAUCCUCCACGUGAU
RNAcentral lists this ribosomal RNA (413 nucleotides) under Excirolana mayana. RNAcentral describes it as "partial 16S ribosomal RNA". It matches the Rfam family "Bacterial large subunit ribosomal RNA", at positions 1956 to 2604 of the family's 2925-position model. The record is from RNAcentral. Lineage: Eukaryota; Metazoa; Arthropoda; Malacostraca; Isopoda; Cirolanidae.